GCCAGCAGCCAUAUCACCCUGUAGCUCUCAACUGGCUACCCACCGAAGCUAAGCAGGGUUGUGCCUGGUCAGUACCUGGAUGGAGAAGACCUCCUGGGAAGCUAUGGUUGCUGCUGGAA
Molecule: ribosomal RNA, 119 nt
Filed under: Lepisosteus oculatus (spotted gar)
Lineage: Eukaryota; Metazoa; Chordata; Actinopteri; Semionotiformes; Lepisosteidae
Source: RNAcentral